Molecule: ribosomal RNA, 305 nt
Filed under: uncultured bacterium
Lineage: Bacteria
Description: partial 16S ribosomal RNA
Rfam family: Bacterial small subunit ribosomal RNA
Source: RNAcentral
CCUACGGGGGGCAGCAGUGGGGAAUAUUGGACAAUGGGGGAAACCCUGAUCCAGCGACGCCGCGUGAGUGAAGAAGUAUUUCGGUAUGUAAGGCCCUAUCAGCAGGGAAGAAAAAAAUGACGGUACCUGACUAAGAAGCCCCGGCUAACUACGUGCCAGCAGCCGCGGUAAUACGUAGGGGGCAAGCGUUAUCCGGAUUUACUGGGUGUAAAGGGAGCGUAGACGGCAGGGCAAGUCUGAUGUGAAAGGUCGGGGCCCAACCCCGGGACUGCAUUGGAAACUGUCCGGCUGGAGUACAGGAGAGG